This is a long non-coding RNA of Tyto alba (common barn owl), 569 nucleotides long. RefSeq lists it as uncharacterized. NCBI's taxonomy places the organism in Eukaryota, Metazoa, Chordata, Aves, Strigiformes, Tytonidae. The record is from RefSeq and is a predicted model, not a curated record. The transcript has 2 exons.
ACUGACUUCAGGCCCCUUGUAGUGCUUCCCGGACAUCCUCUGCGCUCAUGAAGACACUUUGCUCGCAGCCAGGGUGAACAGGGCCUCAUCUUUGGGAUGGAGUAGUAUACAAAUCUGCAUUCCUCUGCCAUACGUUUUGGAUAUUCAAUGAAACAGGCUUAUUCUUUAAAUUACUUGAAACUGGAAUUUAAAAGCUGCUGACUUUAGGAAAAAAAAGAGUGCAACGGAAGAGGGAUCAAUUCUCUUGGGCAGAAAAUAUGGAAACAGCACCACCUUCAAUUUGUAAAACACUGCUGUCAGGGUGGGGUGGUUUGGCAGUGAGUACAAAUGUGCACAGUCCUGCAGCCCUGUGGGGCUGUCUGCACUCAGAGCACCACUGCUGUCUUUCUACUGCUCUGCAGGUUGCCUGCUGUGCUCUGCAAACACACCCCUCUCCUAUGGUUAUUUUUGAAACAGCUCCUUCAAACAGAUGUCCUCAUAUAUAUCUCUUCCCCACUACACAAAUAACAGUUUGCCUCAUGUUCCUGCCAGCCUUUUGAACUAAUUAAAAAAAAAAAAAAAAAAAAAAA